RNAcentral lists this small RNA (3910 nucleotides) under Pan troglodytes (chimpanzee). RNAcentral describes it as "processed transcript". Lineage: Eukaryota; Metazoa; Chordata; Mammalia; Primates; Hominidae. The record is from RNAcentral.
CUUGUGUCUCAACACAGCAGAUUAUGUUCCCUCAGUUCCACCAUUCUAUUUCCAACAUCUGGACCACAUUGGAAGAAGACUGGACCACUAUGAGAAACCAGAGUUAUCUCUAGGAUCUUAUGAAUAUGUUGCCACUUUGGAUUAUUGCAGACAGUACUCACAAUAGCCAAAAGGAGGAAGCAACCAGGUGUCUAUGGAAGAAGAAUGGAUAAGCAAAAUGUGGUAUAUACGUACAAUGGAAUAUCAUUCAGCCUCAAAAAGGAAGAAAAGUCUGACCCAUGCUACAACAUGGAUGAAUGUUGAGGAUGUUAUGCUAAGUAAAAUAAGCCAGCCACAAAAAGGAUAAAUAUGGAAUGAUUCUAUAUGAGGUCACUAAAGUUGUUUGCCUGUGGCUCUCUUUUCUAAAUAUUUUGUAAGAUGCAACUGAAGGAUCACUUCCUAAAAGCUGUUUGAACACCAGCCAGUAAAGGGACCAACAACUAAAAAACAUGUUCGUAGCAGCUGCUUUAUGUCACAGUGAUUAUUUUAAACAGAUAAAGAAAAGGCCUGACGUUCUAUGUUACCACAAAUAUGUAAAAAACUAGAAGAGUAAGCCUCCCAACCCACCAGCCUUUAUCUUCAUGAUUGAUGUUUCAUAUAGUAACAUAAAGAAUGGACUUGUCAAGCUCAUAUGUGAAGAACUGAAGACCAUGCUGGAAAAAAUUCCAAAGGAAGAGCAAGAAGAGACGUCUGCAAUUCGAGUGGGUUUUAUCACGUAUAACAAAGUUCUCCAUUUCUUUAAUGUGAAGAGUAAUCUGGCCCAGCCUCAGAUGAUGGUGGUGACUGAUGUUGGAGAAGUCUUUGUUCCUUUGUUGGAUGGUUUCCUUGUCAACUAUCAAGAAUCCCAAUCUGUGAUUCAUAAUUUGUUGGACCAGAUUCCAGACAUGUUUGCAGACUCUAAUGAAAAUGAGACUGUCUUUGCUCCUGUCAUCCAGGCUGGCAUGGAAGCACUAAAGGCAGCAGACUGUCCUGGGAAGCUGUUCAUCUUCCAUUCUUCCUUGCCAACUGCUGAAGCACCAGGGAAGCUCAAAAACAGAGAUGACAAAAAACUGGUUAAUACAGACAAAGAGAAGAUACUUUUCCAGCCCCAAACAAAUGUCUAUGACUCAUUGGCCAAGGACUGCGUGGCUCACGGCUGCUCUGUGACACUCUUCCUCUUUCCUAGUCAGUAUGUGGACGUGGCCUCGCUGGGGCUGGUUCCUCAGCUCACUGGAGGAACCCUUUACAAAUACAACAAUUUCCAGAUGCACUUGGAUAGACAACAAUUUUUGAACGACCUCAGAAAUGAUAUUGAAAAGAAAAUAGGCUUUGAUGCUAUUAUGAGGGUUCGUACCAGCACAGGUUUCAGAGCCACUGAUUUCUUUGGUGGAAUCUUGAUGAACAACACCACCGAUGUAGAAAUGGCUGCCAUCGAUUGUGACAAGGCAGUGACCGUGGAGUUCAAGCACGAUGACAAACUCAGUGAAGACAGUGGAGCCUUAAUCCAGUGUGCUGUGCUUUACACGACAAUCAGUGGUCAAAGAAGACUUCGGAUUCACAAUCUUGGCUUAAACUGCAGCUCCCAGCUAGCUGAUCUUUAUAAGAGCUGUGAGACAGAUGCUCUUAUCAACUUCUUUGCCAAGUCAGCUUUUAAAGCAGUUCUCCACCAGCCUUUGAAGGUCAUCCGGGAAAUUCUAGUUAAUCAGACUGCCCAUAUGUUGGCAUGUUACCGGAAGAAUUGUGCAAGUCCUUCUGCAGCAAGCCAGUUCACUUGUGAAAAAUAAUAUCUAUGAAGAUGGAGAGAUUCCUAAAGGAAUUCCACUAUUUUACCAUAGAGCCCAAAGUUUCCUUGACCCAAGCAAGACCAUCAAGGAGCUAUCUGGAUUGUAUGAUACUGGACCUCAGUAGAACUACUUUUACUGAAUUGCUGGAGCCAAAACUAGGCUGCAGCAAGAGAAGGCAAUUAGGGUACAAAAUCUAAGGAAGCUGUCAUUCUGAGGAUCAUAUGAUAGAUGCUGGGUUAAGACAUAUGGCUGGGCAUGGUGGCUCAUGCCUGUAAUCCCAGCCCUUUGAGAGGCCAAGGCAGGUGGAUCACUUGAGGUCAGGAGUUCAAGACCAGCCUGGGCAACAUGGUGAAACCCCACAUCUACUAAAAAUACAAUAACAGCUGGGCGUGGUGGCAUAGACCUCUAAUCCCAGUUACUUAGGAGGCUGAGGCAGGAGAAUAGCUUGAACCCAGGAGGUAGACGUUGCAGUGAGCCGAGAUCAUGCCACUCGACUCCAGCGUGGGCAAAAAAAAAAAAAAAAAAGACAUAUAACUAGAAACAAGAUAAAUUAGGUUGGGUGCAGUGGCUCACACUUGUAAUCCUAGCACUUUGGGAGGCCAAGACAGGAGGAUUGCUUGAGGCCAGCAGUUGAAGGCCAGCCUGGGCAACAUAUCGAAACCUCCACCUCUACUAAAAAUAAAAACUUAGCCAGGUGUAGUGGUACAUGCCUAUAAUCCCAGCCACUCAGGAGGCUGAGGCAAGAGGAUCCCUGGAACCCAGGAGCUUGAGGAUGCAGCGAGCUAUGAUUGUGCCACCAUACUCUAGCCUGGAUGACAAACUUAUUCUACCAGAUUCCAUGAAAGUAUUGCCAGUGUACAUGAAUUGCUUGUUGAAAAACUGUGUGCUACUCAGCAGACCAGAGAUCUCAACUGAUGAACGAGCAUACCAGAGACAGCUGGUCAUGACCAUGGGUGUGGCUGACUCUCAGCUUUUCUUCUACCCACAACUUCUGCCCAUACACACGUUAGAUGUCAAGAGUACAAUGUUACCUGCUGCUGUUCGUUGCUCUGAGUCCCGUCUUUCAGAAGAAGGAAUAUUCUUACUGGCUAAUGGCCUACACAUGUUCCUGUGGUUGGGAGUAAGCAGCCCACCAGAACUGAUCCAAGGAAUAUUUAAUGUGCCAUCUUUUGCACAUAUCAACACAGACAUGACAUUGCUGCCUGAAGUGGGAAACCCAUACUCUCAACAACUCAGAAUGAUAAUGGGUAUUAUCCAACAAAAGAGGCCAUAUUCAAUGAAGCUCACAAUCGUAAAGCAGCGAGAACAACCAGAAAUGGUUUUCCGACAGUUCCUGGUAGAAGACAAAGGACUUUACGGAGGCUCUUCUUAUGUGGAUUUCCUUUGUUGUGUUCACAAGGAGAUCUGUCAGCUGCUUAAUUAAUUGAAACUUCUCUGUCAUUGAUGUUGCAUUUCCAAGGAGAUAAUCUCCUUCUUGGUGCCUAAUUUUCUAGAUGAUAAUAGGCUAGUUUUGAUUUCUUGCUCAUUUUCAGAAUAACUUUCCAGGAAGAGACGGCAUUUAGAACUUCAGCUUUGGUGCUCAGGUAUAAAGCCAAUUAAGGUACAAUUGUACCAUAAAGGGAACAAUCUGUUUCUGAUUGCACAGUUUCUAAUUUUUAAAACUGAUGUGGUUUGCAUUUCAUAAAAGGCAAAGUUUACAGAACCAUAAACAUUCUCAAUUUUCUUUAUGCUAGAUAUAUAAAUUAUUUUUCAAACUGUAUAGAUUUGGGGUAAAAAGUUGUCUCAGUUCCUCUCCCAAUUGCAAUGAGAAAAAAAAGCUUAAUUUUUACAUUAUACUUAAUUUUCUAAAACCAUGUAACUCCAUUGAACACAUUUUUCAACUUAAGGUCUGCAUAGCAGACUUUUAAUAACCUUGGGAUUUAUCUGGUAGAACAAUAUGUGUUCUACAUUUUUUUCAUAAUUAUAUAUUGUGUAUGUUAAAACUAUUUUCCAGUUGUUUUGUCUGUAAAACUGUCUUUAUCAAUAUGCUUAAUGGUUCUUUGUACAAUUUUGAAAGUUUCUACCUGUAUAUAAUGGAUCUUAACCAGUAUCAAUAAAUCACUUCGUAU